Molecule: ribosomal RNA, 440 nt
Filed under: uncultured bacterium
Lineage: Bacteria
Description: partial 16S ribosomal RNA
Rfam family: Bacterial small subunit ribosomal RNA
Source: RNAcentral
CCUACGGGAGGCAGCAGUGGGGAAUAUUGCACAAUGGGGGAAACCCUGAUGCAGCGACGCCGCGUGAGCGAAGAAGUAUUUCGGUAUGUAAAGCUCUAUCAGCAGGGAAGAAAAUGACGGUACCUGAGUCAGAAGCUCCGGCUAAAUACGUGCCAGCAGCCGCGGUAAUACGUAUGGAGCAAGCGUUAUCCGGAUUUACUGGGUGUAAAGGGAGCGCAGGCGGCCUAGCAAGUCUGUUGUGAAAUGCCGGGGCUCAACCCCGGAGCUGCAUUGGAAACUGUGAGGCUGGAGUGUCGGAGAGGCAGGCGGAAUUCGUGGUGUAGCGGUGAAAUGCGUAGAUAUUAGGAGGAACACCAGUGGCGAAGGCAGCCUGCUAGACGAUGACUGACGCUGAGGCUCGAAAGCGUGGGGAGCAAACAGGAUUAGAUACCCCUGUAGUC